GGGUUGUGAGGUUAAGCGAAUGAAGCGUACACGGUGGAUGCCUAGGCAGUCAGAGGCGAUGAAGGACGUGCUAAUCUGCGAAAAGCGUCGGUAAGCUGAUAUGAAGCGUACUAGCCGGCGAUGUCCGAAUGGGGAAACCCAGUGCAUUAAUGCACUAUCGUUUGAUGAAUUCAUAGUCAAACGAGGCGAACCGGGGGAAUUGAAACAUCUCAGUACCCCGAGGAAAAGAAAUCAACCGAGAUUCCCCCAGUAGCGGCGAGCGAACGGGGAGCAGCCCAGAGUCAACAUCAAUAUUUACCGCAGGAGAAGGGUCUGGAAAGGCCGGCAAUAAAGGGUGAUAGCCCCGUAUCUGAAACGGUAAGUGUUGUGAACUCGAAGAGUAGGGCGGGACACGUGUUAUCCUGUCUGAAUAUGGGGGGACCAUCCUCCAAGGCUAAAUACUCCUGACUGACCGAUAGUGAACCAGUACCGUGAGGGAAAGGCGAAAAGAACCCCGGCGAGGGGAGUGAAAUAGAACCUAAAACCGUGUACGUACAAGCAGUGGGAGCACCCGAAAGGGUGUGACUGCGUACCUUUUGUAUAAUGGGUCAGCGACUUAUAUUCUGUAGCAAGGUUAACCGGAUAGGGGAGCCGUAGGGAAACCGAGUCUUAACUGGGCGUUAAGUUGCAGGGUAUAGACCCGAAACCCGGUGAUCUAGCCAUGAGCAGGUUGAAGGUUGGGUAACACUAACUGGAGGACCGGA
RNAcentral lists this ribosomal RNA (743 nucleotides) under Arsenophonus endosymbiont of Bemisia tabaci. RNAcentral's name for it is "bacterial LSU rRNA". It matches the Rfam family "Bacterial large subunit ribosomal RNA", at positions 1 to 778 of the family's 2925-position model. The record is from RNAcentral. Lineage: Bacteria; Pseudomonadati; Pseudomonadota; Gammaproteobacteria; Enterobacterales; Morganellaceae.